CCGGUCCGGCCGGGUGGCCGCCGCGAGACUGCAAGGUCUCGGGGAGGAAAGUCCGGGCUCCACCGGACAGGGUGCUGGGUAACGCCCAGGCUCCGAGGCGUUCGCGCCAAGGGGACGGAAAGUGGCACAGAAACAUACCGCCGUCGGCUGCCUAGCAGCAGCGGUAAGGGUGAAAUCGGGCGGUAAGAGCGCCCGGCCACGUGCGGCGACGCACUGGCGGCCAAACCCCACCUGGAGCAAGGCCAAAUAGGGGAACCAUGGGCGUCCGGCCCGUUCCCGGGUUGGCUGCUUGACCCCAGCGGCAACGCUGGGGCUAGAUAGAUGGUCACCGUCCGCCGAGAGGCGGUUACAGAACCCGGCUUACAGGCCGCCCGGCGUU
RNAcentral lists this RNase P RNA (379 nucleotides) under Chloroflexota bacterium. RNAcentral describes it as "Chloroflexi bacterium RNase P RNA component class A". It matches the Rfam family "Bacterial RNase P class A". Rfam says of the family: Ribonuclease P (RNase P) is a ubiquitous endoribonuclease, found in archaea, bacteria and eukarya as well as chloroplasts and mitochondria. Its best characterised activity is the generation of mature 5'-ends of tRNAs by cleaving the 5'-leader elements of precursor-tRNAs. Lineage: Bacteria; Bacillati; Chloroflexota. The record is from RNAcentral.